GGCCCAAUGGUCUAGUGGUACGAUGCUCGCUUUGGGUUCAUGCUUCGGCUUAACACUUUGCGAGCGGUCCUGGGUUCGAACCCCAGUUGGGCCC
Molecule: transfer RNA, 94 nt
Filed under: Russula ochroleuca
Lineage: Eukaryota; Fungi; Basidiomycota; Agaricomycetes; Russulales; Russulaceae
Description: tRNA-Pro
Rfam family: tRNA
About the family: Transfer RNA (tRNA) molecules are approximately 80 nucleotides in length. Their secondary structure includes four short double-helical elements and three loops (D, anti-codon, and T loops).
Source: RNAcentral